RNAcentral lists this ribosomal RNA (234 nucleotides) under uncultured Lactobacillus sp. RNAcentral describes it as "partial 16S ribosomal RNA". It matches the Rfam family "Bacterial small subunit ribosomal RNA", at positions 128 to 354 of the family's 1533-position model. Lineage: Bacteria; Bacillati; Bacillota; Bacilli; Lactobacillales; Lactobacillaceae. The record is from RNAcentral.
GCCCAAGAGAUCGGGAUAACACCUGGAAACAGAUGCUAAUACCGGAUAACAACAGAUGAUGCCUAUCAACUGUUUAAAAGAUGGUUCUGCUAUCACUCUUGGAUGGACCUGCGGCGCAUUAGCUAGUUGGUAGGGUAACGGCCUACCAAGGCGAUGAUGCAUAGCCGAGUUGAGAGACUGAUCGGCCACAUUGGGACUGAGACACGGCCCAAACUCCUACGGGAGGCAGCAGGC